GACGAACGCUGGCGGCGUGCUUAACACAUGCAAGUCGAACGGAAAGGCCCUGCUUUUGUGGGGUGCUCGAGUGGCGAACGGGUGAGUAACACGUGAGUAACCUGCCCUUGACUUUGGGAUAACUUCAGGAAACUGGGGCUAAUACCGGAUAGGAGCUCCUGCUGCAUGGUGGGGGUUGGAAAGUUUCGGCGGUUGGGGAUGGACUCGCGGCUUAUCAGCUUGUUGGUGGGGUAGUGGCUUACCAAGGCUUUGACGGGUAGCCGGCCUGAGAGGGUGACCGGCCACAUUGGGACUGAGAUACGGCCCAGACUCCUACGGGAGGCAGCAGUGGGGAAUAUUGCACAAUGGGCGGAAGCCUGAUGCAGCAACGCCGCGUGCGGGAUGACGGCCUUCGGGUUGUAAACCGCUUUCGCCUGUGACGAAGCGUGAGUGACGGUAAUGGGUAAAGAAGCACGGGCUAGCUACGUG
RNAcentral lists this ribosomal RNA (468 nucleotides) under uncultured bacterium. RNAcentral describes it as "partial 16S ribosomal RNA". It matches the Rfam family "Bacterial small subunit ribosomal RNA", at positions 28 to 507 of the family's 1533-position model. The record is from RNAcentral.